GUGGGGUUCCGGCUGCUGGCCUCGUGGCAGCGGGUGCAUGUCUAAAAUCUGGCCUGGUGGGGAAGAGGUGUGCAUGGACAGGCUAAAAUGUUACCAAGUUCCAAACAUGAUGCCAGCCAUCAGAUCAACAGGAGCCUUUCAAUAACAGAGGGGAGAUUGGAUGGGAGCUUUAGGAAGAAGAAUCUUCCACCAAAGUCACAGAAAUAGCCGCUGAAAGAGGAAGCCGAGCCGGGCUCUGGAAGGUUACACAGGCCAGUAAGAAAGAAAUGGCUUGUAAACUGGACAUAGUGUACAUCUAAAGGAAGAAAUCCAGCUAAUCUGCUGUAAUGUGUUUACAGUGCAUUUGAUGAAUAAAUUAUGCCUGGUGCAGCCAUGCUACAGAUUUCCAUCUGCAGUUGAAGCAGCUCCAGCCUAAACACGGAGGGUGGUUCUGAACCAGAACCAUUUCUGCUUGUGAUAAACACAAAUAAAUGCAAAUCAUAAAAUAUGGCUAUGUGGAUAUAACUGUAUGAGUUCACAAUAACAGAAACAAAGCUCGCUAAAGACACAAGAUUAGACAACAUCCUCAAGACCCCUGCCCACAAUCACCUGAGAGCAGUACGCAGAUGCAAAGAGGAGGACACUUAUGAUAAUAAGUUCCUGGAGCUAAUUAUAAUAUUCCCCGCCUAUAUGCAGGAAUUACAAGAAAGAUUUAUUAGGCCUCUUUCCUGUGCCUCCCUCCCAAAGGUCUCCUCCUUUCUCCCUGAGAAUAAUAUUCAUGGAAUAAAAAACCCCCAAGGAAUUCCUUUCUUUACUGGUGAUUGCAGAUCCAAGCUUUCAAAGGACUGAUUGCAGAGGCCUUGCUGACAAAUCCUGGAGCCAGAAAGAAAAUCUACCUCCAAUUCCAUUGUUUGGACAGAAAACAAUCAGUUUGUCAGCAUGCAAUUUAUUUAAAGAUGGAAAUUCAGGAACUAAACACAAAUCAGUCAGGGAUGCUUUCACUGCCAGCAGAAGGAAUAAGUGAGUUGUCAACAACUGCAAACAAGAAAGUAGAUAAAAACUACAGGAGGCUUUCCUGGUCUCUAAGAAGACAUUUUCUUCUCAAUUUGUUCUAAAUCAAGAGCUAAAGUUUGUCCUGCCUUUUACACUGCCUACCACUUCUGGAAGUUUCAUGAGGACCAAUCUGUCACAGUAUCUGACUUUUGCCCAUGGGCUAGAUCUCUUCUGAAUAAUGACAUGACUGAAAUAACAGCCUAAACUAAAUGGAAUAAUUCCUAAAAAUAAAGUCAGCAUCUUAUAUGUUUG
This 1284-nucleotide long non-coding RNA is filed under the name Melopsittacus undulatus (budgerigar). Its description in RNAcentral is "lncRNA (ENSMUNG00000021915.1)". The record is from RNAcentral. Lineage: Eukaryota; Metazoa; Chordata; Aves; Psittaciformes; Psittaculidae.